This 253-nucleotide ribosomal RNA is filed under the name uncultured bacterium. Its description in RNAcentral is "partial 16S ribosomal RNA". It matches the Rfam family "Bacterial small subunit ribosomal RNA", at positions 524 to 776 of the family's 1533-position model. The record is from RNAcentral.
UACGUAGGGUGCAAGCGUUGUCCGGAAUUAUUGGGCGUAAAGAGCUCGUAGGCGGCCUGUCGCGUCGGCUGUGAAAACCCGGGGCUCAACCCCGGGCCUGCAGUCGAUACGGGCAGGCUAGAGUCCGGCAGGGGAGACUGGAAUUCCUGGUGUAGCGGUGAAAUGCGCAGAUAUCAGGAGGAACACCGGUGGCGAAGGCGGGUCUCUGGGCCGGUACUGACACUGAGGAGCGAAAGCGUGGGUAGCAAACAGG